AACUUCCCAACGUUCUUAUUUUUCAGAAAAAAGGCAUGGCCUUUCCCGAACAGGCACCAAGCAAUUCCGAACAGUCACAAUUCGAGGCUAUAUAAACUGAGGCAAUGCCUCAUUUUCGUGUACUUAAAAGAAAAAGAAAAAAAAAAUAUUCGUGCAUUAAAAAUUCUGCAUUCUUUUCUGCAAACUGAAACAUAUCGAGUCAUAGUGUGAUUUCGUUCCCGAAUUUGAGUNNN
RNAcentral lists this long non-coding RNA (233 nucleotides) under Nicotiana benthamiana. RNAcentral describes it as "long non-coding RNA (NBEN_LNC038763)". The record is from RNAcentral. Lineage: Eukaryota; Viridiplantae; Streptophyta; Magnoliopsida; Solanales; Solanaceae.